UACGGAGGGAGCUAGCGUUGUUCGGAAUUACUGGGCGUAAAGCGCACGUAGGCGGCCAUUCAAGUCAGAGGUGAAAGCCCGGAGCUCAACUUCGGAAUUGCCUUUAAGACUGCAUCGCUUGAAUCAUGGAGAGGUCAGUGGAAUUCCGAGUGUAGAGGUGAAAUUCGUAGAUAUUCGGAAGAACACCAGUGGCGAAGGCGACUGACUGGACAUGUAUUGACGCUGAGGUGCGAAAGCGUGGGGAGCAAACAGG
RNAcentral lists this ribosomal RNA (253 nucleotides) under uncultured bacterium. RNAcentral's name for it is "partial 16S ribosomal RNA". It matches the Rfam family "Bacterial small subunit ribosomal RNA", at positions 524 to 776 of the family's 1533-position model. The record is from RNAcentral.